This is a long non-coding RNA of Polypterus senegalus (gray bichir), 382 nucleotides long. RefSeq lists it as uncharacterized. Lineage: Eukaryota; Metazoa; Chordata; Cladistia; Polypteriformes; Polypteridae. The record is from RefSeq and is a predicted model, not a curated record. The transcript is spliced from 3 exons.
GGCAACCAUAACGGUGUGAGAGGAACCAGAAACACAGCUAUUGCUGGCUAUUUCUGGCCAACUCUUACAAACAAUGUAGCUAAUUGGGUGAGAUGUUGUCACCGCUGUCAGCUGAAUGAUCCCAUCAAGACCAUGGUACCAUUCUUGCAUUCCAUCAAGGUGAAAGAAGCUUGGGAGGUGGUAGGUCUGGAUCUCUUUGGCCCAAUGUGUGAAACUGCCAGAAGUAACAAGUAUGUGUUGACCAUGACUGACCUCUACACAAAGUGGAUCGUUGCUGAGCCUCUACAGUCUAAGUCAGCGAGUGAAGUGUCUGCAGCCAUCAUAGGGAAGCUGUACACAUUUGGCAUGGUUAGGAAGAUCAUUACUGACCAAGGCAAAGAGU